Molecule: unclassified non-coding RNA, 204 nt
Filed under: Hevea brasiliensis (rubber tree)
Lineage: Eukaryota; Viridiplantae; Streptophyta; Magnoliopsida; Malpighiales; Euphorbiaceae
Source: RNAcentral
GGGGACCUCAGCAACGCCCUCAAGUGCUAUUCCCGGGCCCGGGACUACUGCACCAGCGCCAAACACGUCAUCAACAUGUGCCUCAAUGUCAUCAAGGUCAGCGUCUACUUGCAGAAUUGGUCUCAUGUGCUCAGCUACGUCAGCAAGGCUGAGUCCACCCCAGAGAUUGCCGAGCAGCGAGGAGAGCGUGACAGCCAGACCCAG